RNAcentral lists this microRNA precursor (51 nucleotides) under Marmota monax (woodchuck). The record is from RNAcentral. Lineage: Eukaryota; Metazoa; Chordata; Mammalia; Rodentia; Sciuridae.
UUUGUAGUGUUAGUGUGUCCCAUGCAAUAUUGGGAUGUAGUUAUACUAGAA